Molecule: long non-coding RNA, 1892 nt
Organism: Ostrea edulis (European flat oyster)
Lineage: Eukaryota; Metazoa; Mollusca; Bivalvia; Ostreida; Ostreidae
Exons: 2
Source: RefSeq, a predicted model, not a curated record
UUGAAAUUUCAGUGACCUAAGAAAUAUAUCAAACCUGAAGUUUUGUGUUUCACACAAACAUGUAGGUUGGCAAAACCUUUUUAAAUAAUGUAAAUUAAUCACAAGUCUGCAUAUGCCCUCUCAUAGGCAAAUGUAUGCAUUGUAUGUAUAAGUAAGAUAUGUAUACUACACGUAUGCCCUUCUCUUGACCCACAUUUUGUAAAUAAAACAGAUAUGAUAAGUCUAUGGCAGUUUAUGAAAACAUAUAUACAUGUCAUCUCAUUGCAAUUUAUAAUUUUGAAACAUCAGUAUUUAAAUUUUAACUGAAUAUGUGUUGAGACACAGUUUUAAAAUUCACAUUGUAUGACGCAAUCUAAUUACUCAAUGGUAUAAUAUAGACCUAACGGUGCAAAUAUCAAUUAUGAUGAUCUUUUUUCUAGGCAUCAGCCUGAAGACCGAGGGAGGUUAGAUAGGACCAGUGCAGGUUGAAGUGGAUUUCGAGUCAACAAGUAGAACAGCAAGAGAGGUACUCCAUUUACAGUGAUGAUGACAUAUCCCCUGGACCCCCACAACUCCACAAAUUUAAAAAUGUUUGAUCAAGUUCCGAAGAUUAAAGAACUACUGCAAAAUUUGGGACUGGAUGAAAAACAUUAAUUCACUUAUAUGAGCUCAGAGCAGUGGAUGUUAUACAACAUACUUUAAACUAAAUUGUGAAUUUAAGGGAAAACAAGUACAUGUCAUGUACUCAUAUAUUACAAGUACAUGCCUUUUGAAAGACAAUAAUAUUGCAUAGAUGUAAAGGAAAUUUCAAUGUUGAUUAUUUUUUCUUAGAUAUAUUAGUAAAAAAUGUGCACAUGAUAGAAUAUCAAUUUUAUUACUUCAAUCAAUGUGUUUGAAUUUUCCUUGUAAUUCAAAAUUUAGUUGAAACAUACAUCAUAGAUACAUUAAUGUAUAUAAAAUUUUUAGAAAAGUUUCAUAAUGGAACUAAUUCACCCCCCCCCCCCCCCCUAUACAUACAGUGAACAUAGACCUUCACCUGGGGAAAACUUCCGUUAGUUAAUGCAAUAUACAUGUACAUGCAUUCUCAGUUAUCCAAUAGUUCCAUGUGAAACUACAAUUAGAAAUCUUAAACUUAUGAAAGACACACCUAUCUGUGAGGGUAAGAUGACUCAGAUGGACUUAAUUGUAGUGAUCCAUGGGCAGUCCAUGGGUCUCUUUCCAUUAAUAUUAAUUAUUUAUUGAAAUAUGAAAUGGUUAUUUAAACAUAUUUGGUGUAUUAUACUGUAUAGUGAUAUAAAUUUCUAUCAAAAAAUAUGUAUAAGUAAUAGAUUUGGUCUAGUUAUUACAAGAAAUUGUAUGAAAAAUAACUAAAUAUUUAGGCAAUCAUUGUGAGUGCAAAAAGGUCAACUGCAAUAGCACACACUAUAUAUCAUUCUUAAAUGGCUCAUAGAAACUUCUAGUAUUGUGAGUUUGAAUGCUCAAUAUGGUAAUUUGGGAAUGCUUAAUCAUUUAAAGUCAAUAGUUUAUCUCUGCUGACUGUAUCUCUUAAAAUUCAUUUCUAGAAGGGAGGGGGUAGGGUUACAAAAUCUGACAUAGUUUCAGAUUAAACCUCAUUUGGUAUAUUUUUUUCUAUUCAAUAUUUUAGAUACUACUUGACUUAUUGUAAAAAUGAAAUAAAAUCAGAAAUUUUAUGAGCAGAAUUUUGUUGUUGUCAAAAAAUGUAUGCGUGAUAGUAUUUGAGAAACGCCAUAUUUAGGGUAAAUUUGGCCAAUUGCCAAGUCGAAUCAUGCCAAUGUUUUCCUUAGAUGCAUUUUGAAAAUCUAAUCCAUGUUGAUUUUUUAUCUGUUUGUGUUUAAUUUACAUAACUAUAUAUGACAAACAAUAUUUCUGGUGUCAAUAAAAUUUUUAUUGGC